UUGAGAAGUAAAAGUCGUAACAAGGUCUCCGUUGGUGAACCAGCGGAGGGAUCAUUGCUGGAACGCGCCCCAGGCGCACCCAGAAACCCUUUGUGAACUUAUACCUUACUGUUGCCUCGGCGCUAGCUGGUCCUCCGGGGCCCCUCACCCCCGGGUGUUGAGACAGCCCGCCGGCGGCCAACCCAACUCUUGUUUUUACACUGAAACUCUGAGAAUAAAACAUAAAUGAAUCAAAACUUUCAACAACGGAUCUCUUGGUUCUGGCAUCGAUGAAGAACGCAGCGAAAUGCGAUAAGUAAUGUGAAUUGCAGAAUUCAGUGAAUCAUCGAAUCUUUGAACGCACAUUGCGCCCUCUGGUAUUCCGGAGGGCAUGCCUGUUCGAGCGUCAUUUCAACCCUCAAGCCUGGCUUGGUGAUGGGGCACUGCCUGUAAAAGGGCAGGCCCUGAAAUUCAGUGGCGAGCUCGCCAGGACCCCGAGCGCAGUAGUUAAACCCUCGCUCUGGAAGGCCCUGGCGGUGCCCUGCCGUUAAACCCCCAACUUCUGAAAAUUGACCUCGGAGCACGUAC
RNAcentral lists this ribosomal RNA (567 nucleotides) under Phomopsis sp. LV286. Its description in RNAcentral is "eukaryotic LSU rRNA". The stretch from base 235 to 388 matches the Rfam family "5.8S ribosomal RNA". Lineage: Eukaryota; Fungi; Ascomycota; Sordariomycetes; Diaporthales; Diaporthaceae. The record is from RNAcentral.